This is a long non-coding RNA of Daphnia magna, 544 nucleotides long. RefSeq lists it as uncharacterized. The transcript has 6 exons. The record is from RefSeq and is a predicted model, not a curated record. Lineage: Eukaryota; Metazoa; Arthropoda; Branchiopoda; Diplostraca; Daphniidae.
GGUUUCAUUUCAAGCAGACACCAAGCAUCAAAUGCGUGGUCUGUGCUAUGUGAUUGCAUUGUUACUGCUGGAGUGAGCAAUUUCAGAUUGCGUCAUGAUGGCGUGCCCCGUUGCGUCGUGAUCGGCGUGCCCUUUUAGCGUCAUGAUUGGCGUGCCCUGUGUUAACACGAUAUGUAUUAUUUAUUCGUGGGCUGCAUUGGUCAGAGGAGACUCACAAGCAGCAAGGAAAGGAGGCUGCUCUUCAUCAGCCAGAAGUUUGAUACAAAGGAGUACACAAGUUUAUUUCAUUACUUAUAAGCAAAGUCAAUUUUUUGGAUAUAGAUGGGCAGCAAUUUUAUCGAGCCAUGACAUCUAAUUUCUGUUAUCCUGCUUGUGGUGACCUGUCAUUUGAUGAUAUGUCAAACCUAAGUUGCCUCUAGGAAUUAUGAAUGUCAAAUUUGGGACACAGGUGUGCAGUUUUUUUAUCGAGCUCUGACAUCUGAGUAUGAUUUAAUUAUUUAAUUUUCUUAGAGUUUACUUUAUUAAUUGGUCGAAACCCUUUUUU